This 377-nucleotide ribosomal RNA is filed under the name uncultured bacterium. RNAcentral's name for it is "bacterial SSU rRNA". It matches the Rfam family "Bacterial small subunit ribosomal RNA", at positions 523 to 898 of the family's 1533-position model. The record is from RNAcentral.
AUACGUAGGUGGCGAGCGUUGUCCGGAAUUACUGGGUGUAAAGGGCGUGUAGGCGGGAAUGCAAGUCAGAUGUGAAAGCCCGGGGCUUAACCCCGGAUAUGCAUCUGAAACUGUGUUUCUUGAGUGCUGGAGAGGAAAGCGGAAUUCCUAGUGUAGCGGUGAAAUGCGUAGAUAUUAGGAGGAACACCAGUGGCGAAGGCGGCUUUCUGGACAGUAACUGACGCUGAGGCGCGAAAGCGUGGGGAGCAAUCAGGAUUAGAUACCCUGGUAGUCCACGCCGUAAACGAUGGAUACUAGGUGUAGGAGGUAUCGACCCCUCCUGUGCCGGAGUUAACACAAUAAGUAUCCCACCUGGGGAGUACGGCCGCAAGGUUGAA